Molecule: long non-coding RNA, 469 nt
Organism: Xiphophorus couchianus (Monterrey platyfish)
Lineage: Eukaryota; Metazoa; Chordata; Actinopteri; Cyprinodontiformes; Poeciliidae
Exons: 2
Source: RefSeq, a predicted model, not a curated record
GCUCCGGCCGAACAAAGCCCGCUGCAUAACGGCCGGAGUUCUGAACCAGAGAAGAGUGCAGGGAUGGAGGUUAUGAGAGAUGCAGAGACUGAGUCUGGAAUUCAGGUUUAUGGGUUGCACCACUGUGGGCAAAUUCUCCUGCUUGUGGAUCUUUGCAGCUCCUCCAGAGUUACCACGGGCCUCUUAAAUGCUUCUCCACUGGUGGAUGACCAAGUCUUUGCAGGUCUGCUGGUGUGCCAUACUCUUUCCAUUUUUAGAUGAUAAUUUGAAAAGUGCUCUAAUAUAGUUAUAGCUUUGAAUAUUGUUUUCCAACCCACUCUAAAAUUCUUCACAACCUGAAUCCUGGUCUUUCUGGUAUGAGCUUCAUGAUGUUUGAUCACUAAGGUUCUCUAACAAACCCUCUGAGGCUUUUAACAACAUAGCUGUAUGUAUACUGAGCUUACAUAAAUGAAAUUUAUUAAAAACGUGA